Molecule: small nuclear RNA, 157 nt
Organism: Zophobas morio
Lineage: Eukaryota; Metazoa; Arthropoda; Insecta; Coleoptera; Tenebrionidae
Product: U1 spliceosomal RNA
Exons: 1
Source: RefSeq, a predicted model, not a curated record
UCACUUACCUGGUGCGCUCAGUUCGUGAUCAGUGAGGCGAGUUGGCUACACGGUGGCGCGCCAUUGCACUGGGGCGUGUGCUGUGUAUCAUCCCCUAAAGGGGGACUGGAGCACAUAAUUUAUGCUAGCGGGAGCUUCGCGUUCGCGCGGGUUCCCG